This 766-nucleotide ribosomal RNA is filed under the name uncultured bacterium. RNAcentral's name for it is "bacterial SSU rRNA". It matches the Rfam family "Bacterial small subunit ribosomal RNA", at positions 28 to 807 of the family's 1533-position model. The record is from RNAcentral.
GACGAACGCUGGCGGCGCGCCUAACACAUGCAAGUCGAACGAGAGAGAGGGAGCUUGCUUCCUUGAUCGAGUGGCGAACGGGUGAGUAACGCGUGAGGAACCUGCCUCAAAGAGGGGGACAACAGUUGGAAACGACUGCUAAUACCGCAUAAGCCCACGACCCGGCAUCGGGAAGAGGGAAAAGGAGCAAUCCGCUUUGAGAUGGCCUCGCGUCCGAUUAGCUAGUUGGUGAGGUAACGGCCCACCAAGGCGACGAUCGGUAGCCGGACUGAGAGGUUGAACGGCCACAUUGGGACUGAGACACGGCCCAGACUCCUACGGGAGGCAGCAGUGGGGAAUAUUGCACAAUGGGGGAAACCCUGAUGCAGCGACGCCGCGUGGAGGAAGAAGGUCUUCGGAUUGUAAACUCCUGUUGUUGAGGAAGAUAAUGACGGUACUCAACAAGGAAGUGACGGCUAACUACGUGCCAGCAGCCGCGGUAAAACGUAGGUCACAAGCGUUGUCCGGAAUUACUGGGUGUAAAGGGAGCGCAGGCGGGCGAUCAAGUUGGAAGUGAAAUCCAUGGGCUCAACCCAUGAACUGCUUUCAAAACUGGUCGUCUUGAGUAGUGCAGAGGUAGGCGGAAUUCCCGGUGUAGCGGUGGAAUGCGUAGAUAUCGGGAGGAACACCAGUGGCGAAGGCGGCCUACUGGGCACCAACUGACGCUGAGGCUCGAAAGUGUGGGUAGCAAACAAGAUUAGAUACCCUGGUAGUCCACGCCGUAAAC